Molecule: transfer-messenger RNA, 349 nt
Filed under: human gut metagenome
Rfam family: transfer-messenger RNA
About the family: Bacterial tmRNA, also known as 10Sa RNA or SsrA, is named for its dual tRNA and mRNA-like properties. Its role is to liberate the mRNA from a stalled ribosome.
Source: RNAcentral
GGGGGUGUAAAGGUUUCGACGGGGUUAUAGAUACGUAAGGAGCGAGCCGCAGCGGAAUCUGCGUUAAAAGUCCAAACUUUUAAAAUUAAACGCUAACAAAAAUUUAGCUUACGCUGCCUAAUUGACGCAGCUGCCUUCCCGCGGUUACCGCGGCUGCGGUGCAAGGUAUCAUCUGAGCGGUGAACGUGAACCGAAAAAGCUUUGAUUCGGUCAUGAAUAUAUGAAGCUACCGAUUUUUAAAGUUUGUCUGUGAACUUUAAUGAUAGGGAAUUUUGAUCACAGACUACGCUCGUAGCGCCUUGCGGGGAUAUUUCUUCGGACAGGAGUUCAAUUCUCCUCACCUCCACCA